UUUUCUGCUGUUGUGAUUGGGAUAAGUGGUCUUGGUGUUUAUGAAGUGAUUUGUGACCAAGGAAGAUACAAAGAUGAUGUUAUCUGUCUUAGUGGGAUUGAACAGUCUCUUUUUUGUGUUGGAAAUCGUGGUUUCAGUCAUUAAAUUUGACGAUUUGUUUUUGUAGAAGAAAAAAGAAAUUAUCUUUCUUGUGUGCUGCUUGUCUUUAACUAUUUGGCUUUUUGCAGUUGUUAGAAUGAUGAUGGAGAGAUGGAAAUUAAGAGUAAUCAAAGUUAUGGGAUUUGAAAUGUUUCAAGUUUUGUGGAUUUGAAUUAUAAUUUGUUUGUAUCAUCCAAUUCCCUCAAUACGUGCGACACAACGAUUCUUUAGUCGAUAUCUUCUUUGUCUUCAGCAUAUAUGUGCUCUAUAAGGUAACAAUUCAAUGGAACUCUGCUACUUUCAUUUUUCUGAAAUUGAUUGGUUGGUGUAUGUUUAUGGAAACUAUGCCUAAUUGGUUUGAUCUAUCUGGUUUUUACAGGACAAAUCACCAGAGACAAUAAAGUAGAUUUUUUUUUGCUAAAGUGAAAUGAUUACAUUUAUGGAAGCCAAAGAGAGGGUGAAGGAGGUGGAGAAGUGCUUAGACUCUCAGCUAUGGCAUGCCUGCGCUGGUGGAAUGAUCCAAAUGCCUAUGGUGAACUCCAAGGUCUUCUACUUCCCUCAAGGCCACUGUGAGCAUGCCUCUGGUCCUAUGGAUUUCAGGAACUUCCCUCGCGUCCCUUCAUAUAUCCUUUGUAGGGUUUUGGCUGUUAAAUUCAUGGCUGAUCCUGAAACCGAUGAGGUUUAUGCCAACAUGAAGUUGGCUCCAAUUACUAGCAGCGAGCCUGGUUUGGAGGAAGAAGAGGAACGUGUAAUUAAUGGGGGAGAAGGGCAAGAGAAUAAGCCAGCUUCCUUUGCUAAGACAUUGACCCAAUCGGAUGCUAACAAUGGUGGAGGUUUCUCCGUGCCAAGGUAUUGUGCAGAGACCAUUUUUCCACGGCUGGAUUACUCAGCGGAUCCGCCUGUGCAGACCAUUCUUGCUAAGGAUGUUCAUGGAGAUACAUGGAAAUUUAGGCAUAUUUAUAGAGGGACACCAAGGAGACAUCUUUUAACUACUGGCUGGAGCACAUUUGUGAAUCAUAAAAAGCUGGUUGCAGGGGAUUCCAUAGUGUUUUUGAGGGCAGAGAAUGGAGAU
RNAcentral lists this unclassified non-coding RNA (1210 nucleotides) under Hevea brasiliensis (rubber tree). Lineage: Eukaryota; Viridiplantae; Streptophyta; Magnoliopsida; Malpighiales; Euphorbiaceae. The record is from RNAcentral.